UGGGGAAUAUUGCGCAAUGGGCGGAAGCCUGACGCAGCGACGCCGCGUGGGGGAUGACGGCCUUCGGGUUGUAAACCUCUUUCAGCAGGGACGAAGCGAGAGUGACGGUACCUGCAGAAGAAGCACCGGCCAACUACGUGCCAGCAGCCGCGGUAAUACGUAGGGUGCAAGCGUUGUCCGGAAUUAUUGGGCGUAAAGAGCUCGUAGGCGGUUUGUUGCGUCGGCUGUGAAAUCCCGAGGCUCAACCUCGGGUCUGCAGUCGAUACGAGCAAACUAGAGUGUUGCAGGGGAGACUGGAAUUCCUGGUGUAGCGGUGAAAUGCGCAGAUAUCAGGAGGAACACCGGUGGCGAAGGCGGCGAUCUGGACGAUGACUGACGCUGAGACGCGAAAGCGUGGGGAGCAAAC
This 406-nucleotide ribosomal RNA is filed under the name uncultured bacterium. RNAcentral describes it as "bacterial SSU rRNA". It matches the Rfam family "Bacterial small subunit ribosomal RNA", at positions 355 to 773 of the family's 1533-position model. The record is from RNAcentral.